GCGGGGCUAGGGAGGCUCGGUUGGGCGCGCGGGCGGAGCCCCCACCCGGGAGGCUCCCUCAGAGACUCUGCCCCGCCCCCCGUUGGGGGAAGCCGCCCCCCUCCCCCCGGGGCGCCCCUCGCUCAGGGAGGGGGGAGCUAGUCCCGCCGUCCUGUGCGGGCCGGGCGGCCCCGUGGAGCGUCCUGGCUCGGAGCCGCCCUGCCAGCGCCGCCUCCACUGGGAGCCGGGAGCCCGGGCCGAGCCGCGGCUGCUCCCCAGCGGGGUGUGUGCGGGGAGAGCCCUUCCCUAGCGCCCCUCUGUGCCCAGCCGGGGGGACUCUCUGCGGGGGCCGGGCUCUGCCGACACCAGCCCCUGAGCCGGAGCCUGCAGAUUCACUCCAGAUUGUCACAUCACCCCAGGGGCCGGGGAAGGGGAAUGGCGGCAGUGGACCCGACUCAGGUGAUGAGACAGUGAGUGAAAGCAAUGAAGAGAAUCCUUGUCCGGCAGGUCCUUAGCAAAUGGAACUGAAGGGGAUGUUGCUGGGAAGAUGUGAAGGGGAUGAUUCCCAGAUUCCUGGGCAAGGAGAAGCCCAAGAAACUCAGUGCAGGCCAGAGAAGCAGCAGGGAAACCCCCUAGGAAAGAUACUGGGUGAAUCCACUUGCCGAGGGGGAGGUUUGGAAGAACCUAAUGAAGCCACAAUCCAACCAAGAACCUGCACUAAGGAGAAGCGUUUUGAAUGUGCUGAGUGCAGGAAACGCUUUAGUUGUAAAGAACACCUUGUUAGACAUCUGAGAGUCCACACGGGAGAGACCCCCUAUCACUGCCCCGAGUGCGGGAAACAAUUCAAUGACCAAUCAAUCCUUAUCAGACAUCAGCGAACCCAUACAGGAGAGAGACCCUAUAAGUGCCAUGACUGCGGGAAAAGCUUCAGUCAGAGGUCAGGCCUUAUUACACAUCAGACAGUCCACACAGGAGAGAAAUGCCAUAAAUGUCCUGACUGUGGACAAACCUUCACUCAGAGAGGGCAUGUUACUAGACAUCGGAGGACUCACACAGGUGAGAGACCCUAUGGAUGCCCAGAGUGUGGGAAAAAGUUCGCUUCCACCUCUGACCUUAUUAUACAUCAGAGAAUCCACACAGGAGAGAAACCCUAUAACUGCCCCGACUGUGGGAAAAGCUUCAGUCACAGCCAUCACCUUACUGACCAUCGGAGAAUCCACACAGGAGAGAGACCCUAUACCUGCCCCGACUGUGGGGAAAGCUUCAAAAGUAAAUCUGGCUUCAAAGUCCAUCGGAGAAGGCACACGGGAGAGUGCCCCUAUCAAUGUUCCGUCUGUGGGGAAAGGUACAAAACCAGGAACUCUCUAACAUGCCACAUGAAACACCACACAGAAUAGUGCCAGACACUUCCCCUCCUCUCGGCAUCUGUAGAGAUGGGAGGAACGAUAGAAAUAAUAAACAGUUGCCCAAUUCCUUAGAGAAUCAAGUAGCACUACUGUUUACUUGUGUGCUGUGUAUCUCAGGAGGACGGAGGCACCAGGAAAGUGACAUUAUUAUUAUUACUUUAUUGCAUUAUUCUCUGACACUCGACCAUCCCAUCCCAUCUCCCUGUGUCAUGAGGAGGCUUUUACUGAGCCGAAGGGUUUACCUGGAUUUCCUGGUCCCUGUUUUUAGGCAGGGGCUCGGUUCACAUUGUUGCCACUGGGAUUAUUCUAUAAAUUGCUGCUCCGGGAGACAUUUUCUCCCUGUUUCUUCAUGGUGGGGAGAGCAGGGGUCUGAAAUUUCUGGAUAGUUGGGUGUCAGUAGAUUGUUUAUUGUUCACUGAAUUAUUUUCUGGGUAUUGCUCAAUUAUGUGUUUUUUCCCUCCCAAAUAAUAUGUAAAUAAAACUUUUCUGGCAAAUCUCAUUUUCCUGAACAGCC
Molecule: RNA transcript, 1899 nt
Organism: Mauremys reevesii (Reeves's turtle)
Lineage: Eukaryota; Metazoa; Chordata; Testudines; Geoemydidae
Gene name: oocyte zinc finger protein XlCOF19-like
Exons: 3
Source: RefSeq, a predicted model, not a curated record